AUUGAACGCUGGCGGCAGGCCUAACACACGCAAGUCGAGCGGAUGAGAGGAGCUUGCUCCUCGAUUCAGCGGCGGACGGGUGAGUAAUGCCUAGGAAUCUGCCUAGUAGUGGGGGACAACGUUUCGAAAGGAACGCUAAUACCGCAUACGUCCUACGGGAGAAAGUGGGGGAUCUUCGGACCUCACGCUAUUAGAUGAGCCUAGGUCGGAUUAGCUAGUUGGUAGGGUAACGGCCUACCAAGGCGACGAUCCGUAACUGGUCUGAGAGGAUGAUCAGUCACACUGGAACUGAGACACGGUCCAGACUCCUACGGGAGGCAGCAGUGGGGAAUAUUGGACAAUGGGCGAAAGCCUGAUCCAGCCAUGCCGCGUGUGUGAAGAAGGCCCUCGGGUCGUAAAGCACUUUAAGUUGGGAGGAAGGGCUUACAGCGAAUACCAGUGAGUUUUGACGUUACCGACAGAAUAAGCACCGGCUAACUUCGUGCCAGCCGCCGCAGUAA
RNAcentral lists this ribosomal RNA (500 nucleotides) under uncultured bacterium. Its description in RNAcentral is "partial 16S ribosomal RNA". It matches the Rfam family "Bacterial small subunit ribosomal RNA", at positions 30 to 523 of the family's 1533-position model. The record is from RNAcentral.